RNAcentral lists this non-coding RNA (726 nucleotides) under Ixodes scapularis (black-legged tick). RNAcentral describes it as "Eukaryotic small subunit ribosomal RNA". It matches the Rfam family "Eukaryotic small subunit ribosomal RNA", at positions 1311 to 1582 of the family's 1831-position model. Lineage: Eukaryota; Metazoa; Arthropoda; Arachnida; Ixodida; Ixodidae. The record is from Rfam by way of RNAcentral.
UUGUCUGGUUAAUUCCGAUAACAAACGAGACUCUAGUCAAUCAAAUACGUGCGUGGUCCUUUGCACCUUGCACCCCUCUUAGAAGGAGAAGCGGCUCCUAUACUUCGUCUCUCCUUAUUAUAUAUAUAUGGCCUACUGUUAGUCGCGCGUGCUCAAAGCGCGAGCUAGUCGCUUUGAAUGAAGUCACGGCGGCUACACGAGCGCUCGUGCAGCGAGUGCUCUAGUCAAGGCAGUCAAGGCUGGCCGCUCGCGCUAACACAGCCUUCGCGGUUAGUUCAUGCUAGGCUGAGACGAAGUAUAGCUAUUGGCGACGUGAGCUAUCAAAAGCGUCGCUGUGGUCGGCCCACCACAAUUGGCCGAAUGCUGACUAUGACGUCAGCAAAGGAUAUCAUAUCGACACAAAUAAGAGGAAUGUAAGAGCUUACAUUUUGACGGUGUGGGCAGUGUUACUUUGAGAGCGCUAUGAUUUCAGGCUUUCCCCAUGCUCAUUACAAACACCAUUGAACUUGCUCUUCACAAGGUAAUGACGUCACGAAAGGUAACCAAACGAGGGCGCCACCAAAACAUCUCGCCGCUAAUAGCCGCACGAAACAGAGCAAUAAAUGGUCCGUGAUUCCCUUAGAUGUCCGGGGCCGCACGCGCGCUACACUGAAGGAAGCAGCGUGUUUUUAUCCCUCCCUGUGAAGACAGUAAGCUUAGAAAAAGUUCAUUGAGCAAAUACAGAGG